RNAcentral lists this ribosomal RNA (460 nucleotides) under uncultured bacterium. RNAcentral describes it as "partial 16S ribosomal RNA". It matches the Rfam family "Bacterial small subunit ribosomal RNA", at positions 338 to 795 of the family's 1533-position model. The record is from RNAcentral.
CCUACGGGAGGCAGCAGUGAGGAAUAUUGGUCAAUGGCCGGAAGGCUGAACCAGCCAUGCCGCGUGAAGGUCAGUGCCCUAUGGGCGUUAAACUUCUUUUGUGCGGGAGCAAUAUUGGUCACGUGUGGCCAGACGAGAUUACCGUACGAAUAAGCAUCGGCUAAAUCCGUGCCAGCAGCCGCGGUCAUACUGGGGGUGCGAGCGUUAUCCAGAUUUAUUGGGUUUAAAGGUUGCGUUGGCUGUGAGGGUAUUCAGCGGGGAAAUGCCCCCGCUCAACGGGGUGAAGUGCCAUUGAUACUGUCUUGCUGGAAUGCGAAUGCGGUGGGAGGAAUGUGUGGUGUAGCGGUGAAAUGCAUAGAUAUCACACAGAACACCGAUUGCGAAGGCAUCUAACGAGUCCGCGAUUGACGCUGAUGCACGAAAGCGUGGGUAUCAAACAGGAUUAGAUACCCGAGUAGUC